Molecule: non-coding RNA, 28 nt
Filed under: Bombyx mori (domestic silkworm)
Lineage: Eukaryota; Metazoa; Arthropoda; Insecta; Lepidoptera; Bombycidae
Source: RNAcentral
UAACGGUGUCACUAAACGGGAUGUUUAU